AACGAACGCUGGCGGCAUGCCUAACACAUGCAAGUCGAACGGGAUCCUAGCUUGCUAGGUGAGAGUGGCGGACGGGUGAGUAACACGUGGGAAUCUGCCUUUUGGUUCGGGAUAACCGCGGGAAACUGCGGCUAAUACCGAAUGCCCUCGAGAGAGGAAAGAUUUAUCGCCAGAAGAGGAGCCCGCGUCCGAUUAGGUAGUUGGUGGGGUAAAGGCCUACCAAGCCGACGAUCGGUAGCUGGUCUGAGAGGAUGAUCAGCCACACUGGGACUGAGAUACGGCCCCAGACUCCUACGGGAGGCAGCAGUGGGGAAUAUUGGACAAUGGGGGCAACCCUGAUCCAGCAAUGCCGCGUGAGUGAUGAAGGCCUUAGGGUGUAAAGGCUCUUUUGCCAGGGAAGAUGAUGACUGUACCUGGAGAAUAAGCCCCGGCUAACUUCGUGCCAGCAGCCA
This 452-nucleotide ribosomal RNA is filed under the name uncultured bacterium. Its description in RNAcentral is "bacterial SSU rRNA". It matches the Rfam family "Bacterial small subunit ribosomal RNA", at positions 29 to 517 of the family's 1533-position model. The record is from RNAcentral.